AAAGUCGUAACAAGGUUUCCGUAGGUGAACCUGCGGAAGGAUCAUUACAAAUCAUUGCAGCAAGCUCGGCCCUAUCCUAUUAUUAUGGUGGGGCCGAGUGAGCGCACAUUGGCACAAGGCUGUUGCAGCCUUGAUGUUUACGCUUGUAUGUUUGACAAAGUAUAAAUUGUGACUAAAAUAUAGACAACUUUUAACAAUGGAUCUCUUGGCUCUU
Molecule: unclassified non-coding RNA, 214 nt
Filed under: Rozellomycota sp.
Lineage: Eukaryota; Fungi; Rozellomycota
Description: Cryptomycota sp. partial contains small subunit ribosomal RNA, internal transcribed spacer 1, and 5.8S ribosomal RNA
Rfam family: Eukaryotic small subunit ribosomal RNA (bases 1-47)
Source: RNAcentral